GGAGGGCGCAAGCGUUGUUCGGAAUCACUGGGCGUAAAGCGCGUGCAGGCGGCUUGGUAAGUCGGGUGUGAAAUCCCGGAGCUCAACUCCGGAACUGCACCCGAUACUGCCUCGCUAGAGUCCCGGAGAGGAUGGCGGAAUUUCCGGUGUAGAGGUGAAAUUCGUAGAUAUCGGAAGGAACACCAGCGGCGAAGGCGGCCAUCUGGACGGUGACUGACGCUCAGACGCGAAAGCGUGGGGAGCAAACAGGAUUAGAUACCCUGGUAGUCCACGCUGUAAACGUUGGGUGCUAGGCGUCGUGGGUAUUGACCCCCGCGGUGCCGAAGCUAACGCAUUAAGCACCCCGCCUGGGGAGUACGGUCGCAAGACUA
This 371-nucleotide ribosomal RNA is filed under the name uncultured bacterium. RNAcentral's name for it is "bacterial SSU rRNA". It matches the Rfam family "Bacterial small subunit ribosomal RNA", at positions 527 to 896 of the family's 1533-position model. The record is from RNAcentral.